Molecule: long non-coding RNA, 1417 nt
Filed under: Monodelphis domestica (gray short-tailed opossum)
Lineage: Eukaryota; Metazoa; Chordata; Mammalia; Didelphimorphia; Didelphidae
Description: lncRNA (ENSMODG00000043287.1)
Source: RNAcentral
UGUCUAGGCUGGAAGGAGCCUUAGAGACCUUCUAAUCCAACCCUUUCAUUAUACAGAGGAAGAAACAGAGGUCUAGGUCUGGGGAGAGAUUCACCCAAGAUUACACAAUAAGUGAAUAACAGAGCCAAGACUAGAAUCCUUUGUGUCCUAUCUCCUAGGCUAGGUGUGUGCCCAUUGUAUCACUCUGCCUCUCCAGCUUCCACAAUUUAACGACCAUCUUUAGCUGCUGGAGUCAUGGAAGUAGAGGGAGUCUUAGGAUACUCUAGGUCACAAAUUCCUCAAGUUUUUUUAGGUUCCUCAUUUUUCCACCAGAUCGCCAGACCUUCUAUGACUAAAUGUACCUCCUGGGUGAUGGUUGACUUGAUUGUCCUAAUCUGGAAUGCCCUUUUCAUCCCAACCUUUCCUAGGCAAACUUAGUCAUCCUUCAGGAAUGAACAAGCCCUCUCUCCUUCAAGAAGCCUUCCCUCCCUUUUCUAUGGAAUUACUUUAUUCUCUAUAGUCUGAUAGUGGGGGUGGGCUACUCCACACCAUCCCAACUCUCACUCUCUUUGUGAUCUGGGCCUUACUUGAUUUCCAAAGGAACAUACAUGUAUAUUAAUAACAAUAAUAGUAGUAGUAGUAGGCAUUUAGAUAGCAUUGUACAGCCAUUUUGCAAAUACAGGAUGACUGGGAUCAUUAUCCACCUUUAAAACAUUAGAAAACUGGGGCACAGACUAGUUAAAAAACUAGCCUGGGCUUUCAUUGCUAGUUUGUGAUAGAAUUAGGAUAGGAACCCUCCUCUCUUGACCCCCCCCCCAGGCUAGUGGUCCCUUUGACUCAUUUUAUUCUGUGUAGAUUCUGUAGCCACCUUCUUCCUAACCCCACCUCUAUUAUGUGAACCAUAGUUACUUCCAGUUAGGUCCAUGUUUUUCCCAGUCCCACACCCACCCUCAGAAUUACUGUCCCCUCAGAGAAGUAGGUUUGAUCUUCUGUCUAGAAGUCUUAAUAGAUUUACAGAGUGCCUUUCUGGGGAGCCUUGGAUAUGGACUGAGGCUUUGGCUAAUGCACUUUCUUUUUAAACCUUUAUCUUCUGUCUUAGAAUCAAUGGUAAGUAUUGGUUCCAAGGCAGAAGAGUGGUAAGGGCUAGGCAAUGGGAGUUGUUACUUGCUUAGAAUUUAAGUAUCUAAGGUCAUAUUUGAACCCAGGACCUCCCAUCUCUAGGCUCUCAAUCCACUGAGCCACUUUGAUGCUCUAGAUAUGUUUUUCUCAUGAGGAAGUGUCCCAAGGGACCAAAGUCUUAGGUGGUUGAUACAGACAUCAUAAAGGAUAAAGGAGUAGGAAUGUGCCAGAGUGUACAAUCCUGUCUGAUCAGCUGAGCACGGAGUGGAUAAUAGGAGAGUGUGGGACAGUGAGAAGGACCUAGAAAUCAGAAGACACG